CCUACGGGAGGCAGCAGUGGGGAAUAUUGCACAAUGGGGGAAACCCUGAUGCAGCGACGCCGCGUGAGUGAAGAAGUAUUUCUGUAUGUAAAGCUCUAUCAGCAGUGAAGAAAAUGACGGUACCUGAUUAAGAAGCCCCGGCUAACUACGUGCCAGCACCCGCGGUAAUACGUAGGAGGGAAGCGUUAUCCGGAUUUCCUGGGGCAAAAGGGAGCGUAGACGGCAGCACAAGUCUGGAAUGAAAUGCAGGGGGUUAACCCGGAACUGCUUUGGAAGUUGUGCAGCUAGAGUGCAGGAGAGGUAAGUGGAAUUCCUAGUGUAGCGGUGAAAUGCGGAGAUAUUAGGAGGAACACCAGGGGCGAAGGCGGCUUACUGGACUGUAACUGACGUUGAGGCUCGAAAGCGUGGGGAGCAAACAGGAUUAGAUACCCCAGUAGUC
This 439-nucleotide ribosomal RNA is filed under the name uncultured bacterium. RNAcentral's name for it is "partial 16S ribosomal RNA". It matches the Rfam family "Bacterial small subunit ribosomal RNA", at positions 338 to 795 of the family's 1533-position model. The record is from RNAcentral.